GUCGCCCUCUCCCCCCUUCUUCUCCUCCUCCCCCCACUAAUGCACAACUGCACAUGAAGGUUGUCUGGCAACCAAGAGAGAUCUCAAGUUUCAUGUCAUGCUACUAUCCGCUCACAUGUGGCCAAUAACAAGCCUUAUUGGAUGGAACAGCUGAAGAUAUUGGACAGGAAAUGGGAGAGGGAGAAAGGAGACAUCAUGCAGCAAAGCCUCACAGGCUGGAGUUGAACCUGGGCUGCUACGGCAGGACUUCACCAUGAGAAAAAGAUUCCCAACCUACAAUCAGACGCUGUCCUUUGAUAGCAGCGCCCUCUUGUGGCUGCAGUGAGCCGGUGUGUUUGUUUUCAUGCUGCCCUACAGUAUUUUCUCACUCGCUGGGUGAAUUCCCUGCUCAGGAUUUUCUCUGGCAGACGAACACAGACAAGCUGCAACAAGGGAACUUCAGUGGCCAGCUCGUCACAUGUCCGCUCAGGCCAAUGGGUGCAAGGAUUAAAUGAAUACAAAAAAGAGGCUCUGUUGUGCACAAUGUUGCCAUUAAUAUAUGUAUAGUCUGUUUCCUAAAAAAAGUGUUCCCAAAAUAAAUGACAAGUACACGUUA
Acanthopagrus latus (yellowfin seabream) is the source of this 595-nucleotide long non-coding RNA. RefSeq lists it as uncharacterized. The transcript is spliced from 4 exons. NCBI's taxonomy places the organism in Eukaryota, Metazoa, Chordata, Actinopteri, Spariformes, Sparidae. The record is from RefSeq and is a predicted model, not a curated record.